AGAGUUUGAUCAUGGCUCAGAACGAACGCUGGCGGCAGGCCUAACACAUGCAAGUCGAGCGCGCCCUUCGGGGUGAGCGGCGGACGGGUUAGUAACGCGUGGGAACGUACCCAGAUCUAAGGAAUAGCCACUGGAAACGGUGAGUAAUACCUUAUACGCCCUUAGGGGGAAAGAUUUAUCGGAUUUGGAUCGGCCCGCGUUAGAUUAGGUAGUUGGUGGGGUAAUGGCCUACCAAGCCUACGAUCUAUAGCUGGUUUUAGAGGAUGAUCAGCAACACUGGGACUGAGACACGGCCCAGACUCCUACGGGAGGCAGCAGUGGGGAAUCUUGGACAAUGGGGGCAACCCUGAUCCAGCCAUGCCGCGUGAGUGAAGAAGGCCUUAGGGUCGUAAAGCUCUUUCGCCUGUGAUGAUAAUGACAGUAGCAGGUAAAGAAACCCCGGCUAACUCCGUGCCAGCAGCCGCGGUAAU
RNAcentral lists this ribosomal RNA (470 nucleotides) under uncultured Alphaproteobacteria bacterium. Its description in RNAcentral is "bacterial SSU rRNA". It matches the Rfam family "Bacterial small subunit ribosomal RNA", at positions 8 to 524 of the family's 1533-position model. The record is from RNAcentral. Lineage: Bacteria; Pseudomonadati; Pseudomonadota; Alphaproteobacteria.